Molecule: ribosomal RNA, 253 nt
Filed under: uncultured bacterium
Lineage: Bacteria
Description: partial 16S ribosomal RNA
Rfam family: Bacterial small subunit ribosomal RNA
Source: RNAcentral
UACGAAGGUCCCAAGCGUUAUCCGGAUUUAUUGGGUUUAAAGGGUGCGUAGGUGGUGAGGUAAGUCGGAUGUGAAAUCUCCGGGCUCAACCCGGAAAUGGCAUUGGAAACUACCUUGCUGGAGGAUUUGAGGGGGGAUUGGAAUACUUGGUGUAGCAGUGAAAUGCGUAGAUAUCAAGUGGAACACCAGUGGCGAAGGCGAAUCCCUGGAAAAUACCUGACACUGAGGCACGAAAGCUAGGGGAGCAAACAGG